This 366-nucleotide long non-coding RNA is filed under the name Chrysolophus pictus (golden pheasant). RNAcentral's name for it is "lncRNA (ENSCPIG00010012070.1)". The record is from RNAcentral. Lineage: Eukaryota; Metazoa; Chordata; Aves; Galliformes; Phasianidae.
CGGGCGGUGCGCGGCCACUUAACGGUCCUCGUUCCUGUGCUCUUUGGGGCGGGGUGCGUCUGUGGGGCUGUGCUGAACGCGGCCAGCAGGAUGGAGCCGGCAGGCCUGAGUGUUUCAGUGAAUUAAAUCCUCUUUGAUGAAUCUUGCCUGGCACAAGUCACAAGAAGCCUUGAUGAUGAUGUUAGCCACUCCUAUGAAGCACCACGGCAGCUCUUUUCUUUUCAAGUGAAAAAUAGUAAUUUUCCACAGGAAAAAGCACUUGGUCCAGAAAGUUGCUUCUCAGAAAGGAUUCCAGUGAGUAGAAUCUGCAAUUUCGAGGGUGGCAUGUAUCCUGAUGCCUAUAAAAACAAAUGAACAAAAAAACAC